CCUACGGGCGGCAGCAGUGAGGAAUAUUGGUCAAUGGGCGCGAGCCUGAACCAGCCAAGUAGCGUGAAGGAUGACUGCCCUACGGGUUGUAAACUUCUUUUAUAAAGGAAUAAAGUGAGGCACGUGUGCCUUUUUGUAUUUACUUUAUGAAUAAGGCACGGCUAACUCCGUGCCAGCCGCCGCGGUAAUACGGAGGAUCCGACCGUUAUCCGGAUUUUUUGGGUUUAAAGGGCGCGUAGAUGGGUUGUUAAGUUCGGUGUGAAAGUUUGCGGCUCAAACGUAAAAUUGCAAUUGAUACUGGCAGCCUUGAGUACAGUUGAGGUAGGCGGAAUUCGUGGUGUAGCGGUGAAAUGCUUAGAUAUCACGAAGAACUCCGAUUGCGAAGGCAGCCUACUAAACUGCCACUGACAUUGAUGCUCGAAAGUGUGGGUAUCAAACAGGAUUAGAUACCCGGGUAGUC
This 460-nucleotide ribosomal RNA is filed under the name uncultured bacterium. Its description in RNAcentral is "partial 16S ribosomal RNA". It matches the Rfam family "Bacterial small subunit ribosomal RNA", at positions 338 to 795 of the family's 1533-position model. The record is from RNAcentral.